Molecule: ribosomal RNA, 253 nt
Filed under: uncultured bacterium
Lineage: Bacteria
Description: partial 16S ribosomal RNA
Rfam family: Bacterial small subunit ribosomal RNA
Source: RNAcentral
GACGAACCGUCCUAACGUUGUUCGGAAUCACUGGGCUUAAAGGGCGCGUAGGCGGUCGGCAAAGUCAGGGGUGAAAUCUUUCGGCUUAACCGGAAAAGUGCCUUUGAAACUAGUCGACUCGAGCGAGAUAGGGGCAUGUGGAACUUCCGGUGGAGCGGUGAAAUGCGUUGAGAUCGGAAGGAACGCCGGUGGCGAAAGCGACAUGCUGGAUCUCUGCUGACGAUGAGGCGCGAAAGACAGGGGAGCAAACGGG